Molecule: ribosomal RNA, 247 nt
Filed under: uncultured bacterium
Lineage: Bacteria
Description: partial 16S ribosomal RNA
Rfam family: Bacterial small subunit ribosomal RNA
Source: RNAcentral
AUACGUAGGUGGCAAGCGUUGUCCGGAAUAACUGGGCGUAAAGCGCAUGUAGACGGCAUGAUAAGCCAAAUGUGAAAUGUAGGGGCUCAACCCCUGCACUGCGAUUGGAACUGUCAAGCUUGAGUGCAGGAGAGGCAAAUGGAAUUCCCAGUGUAGCAGUGAAAUGCGUAGAGAUUGGGAGGAACACCAGUGGCGAAGGCGAUUUGCUGGACUGCAACUGACGUUGAGAUGCGAAAGCUAGGGGAGC